This 517-nucleotide ribosomal RNA is filed under the name bacterium enrichment culture clone ALO1_GLFRUDD03F3JAS. Its description in RNAcentral is "bacterial SSU rRNA". It matches the Rfam family "Bacterial small subunit ribosomal RNA", at positions 9 to 520 of the family's 1533-position model. RNAcentral also lists the same sequence under 5 other names. The record is from RNAcentral.
GAGUUUGAUCGUGGCUCAGAUUGAACGCUGGCGGCAGGCCUAACACAUGCAAGUCGAGCGGAUGACGGGAGCUUGCUCCUUGAUUCAGCGGCGGACGGGUGAGUAAUGCCUAGGAAUCUGCCUGGUAGUGGGGGACAACGUUUCGAAAGGAACGCUAAUACCGCAUACGUCCUACGGGAGAAAGCAGGGGACCUUCGGGCCUUGCGCUAUCAGAUGAGCCUAGGUCGGAUUAGCUAGUUGGUGGGGUAAUGGCUCACCAAGGCGACGAUCCGUAACUGGUCUGAGAGGAUGAUCAGUCACACUGGAACUGAGACACGGUCCAGACUCCUACGGGAGGCAGCAGUGGGGAAUAUUGGACAAUGGGCGAAAGCCUGAUCCAGCCAUGCCGCGUGUGUGAAGAAGGUCUUCGGAUUGUAAAGCACUUUAAGUUGGGAGGAAGGGCAGUAAGUUAAUACCUUGCUGUUUUGACGUUACCGACAGAAUAAGCACCGGCUAACUCUGUGCCAGCCGCCGACCG